Molecule: long non-coding RNA, 2073 nt
Organism: Homo sapiens (human)
Lineage: Eukaryota; Metazoa; Chordata; Mammalia; Primates; Hominidae
Gene: PARD6G-AS1
Product: PARD6G antisense RNA 1
Source: Ensembl
UCACUGUGGCUGCUCCUGUGCUUCAGCGGGACUAGAAGCUGCCGCCCACGGGCAGCGGGGAAGAAAUCUGGGCAAAGCCAUGAGCCCUCCGAGGCUGAGCUCCAGUUUAGGGGCUCACCUGCCUUGCAUCGUUCCGAGUCCUGUACUGGACUGCAUCAGGCCGCGUCUCCUCAGGAAAUGGGAUCUUGGUUCCUGGCCAGCACCCGGCCUCUCUGCACCUCAUAGACACUGCAAAUCCUUACUCAGUGACUUCAGGGAUACAGGUGGUACCUCUAAAUCCAAAAACUCCAAAUGUCCACCAGCUCCAGUCACAUUGGAGAUACAGCUGUGGUUUGCUCCUAAGACCCACCCAGCACACGUGAGAUGGGGAGACCUGGAUUGCAUCCCCAUGUCUGUCCCAGUGGAGAUAUCAUUGGAAAAGCUGCAGUGAUCUCUAUAAAAAUCUCAACCACCCGCUCCCAGUAGGUUCAGUGCUGCACUCUAAGAGGAGAACAGGUCUGACUCCUCAAGGAGAUGCCUCUGGUCCAGGCUUUGUAAACUUGGGCCUUCCAGCCAGAUUCCUCCGAGCUCAGUGUCCGCUGCUGCUGGGCUGAGGGGAACCCCACUCCUUCACCACCGACUCCUGCUCCUGGCUGCACCUGCCCUUCCAACAGUGUCUCCUCUCAAGAAAGGGAGAAUCCUCCAGCCUUCUGUGCCUGCAUGCUGAGAACCCAUAGAGAGGAGCAUCCCUGGAGAAUCCCAGCUUGCAGCCAUCUUCCCUCAAGCGCAUUUCCAGUGUCCAGCCUGGCUUUCUGAUCAUUUUUGCUUUAGGAAGGCCUCCGACCAUGGCACUUUGGUAAAACCAUGUCCCAGCCCCCAGUCUCCCUAGCAACGCCGACUCUCACCCCAGAUGGUUCCUGCCAGGAUGGGAGGGUGGAGCUCACAGAGUUUGAAGGAGUGCCACCUUCACAUGGCACAAGUGUCUUUACAGAACACAUGAGGCAGAAAACAGACGUCCACGAAUCUGGGCAGAUGGACACAUGCCGACAGCAUGGCAAGGUCCCCUCCUUUGCCCUGCCCCAUCACUUCCUCCCAUGUGUAGGAGCAGGUCCACCCAAAACAGUGUGAAGGUGUCAAGCCAGUAGCUCCUCUUCUGGGGAGGGAGUGAGGAAGGAAGAGCAGGAGACAGGCAGAAGAACUCACUGGGCGGGUGGCGACCUGCAGGGAGACAGAGAAGGACACGCCAGAGCCCAGGGAGAGCACUAACCACCACUGACAGUUUCCCAUUUCAUAUAUUUUUUCCGAGGCCACGAAGAGGAGGAGCCUGUCACAAAGCGCCAGUGGGAACUCACUGCCCCCGACACCUCCCGACGCAUCAGCUGGUGAGCACCAGAAGCCGGCCCAGUGCCCACAGCCAAGCCCACGUGGUGUGGCCCACAGCACCUUCACAGGAAGGGCCUGAGGGUUGGCUGCAGUCAUUUUUUUUUUUUUUUUCAAACUGGAGGGGAACGUUUUUCCUUGGUAAACCCCCGGCGCUGAAGUCACUCAGGUGAGCCUCGGUGAAGAAGCCUCAGACGCUCAGCAAGGCCCAGGGAGGAUGAGCUCAUCUCUGGAGGCCAAGCUCACAUGCCCUAGACUGCAGCAACAUGCCCUCCCGCCCACGCCCGCUCCCUUGCCAGGGUGUGUCCUGCCCUCAGCGGGCCACUGGCCCCCAAAUCCACCACAGAAGGCCAACAGGACAGGGGAGUCCCAGUGACAUGCCACUGCCUCCCCCCACCCAGGAGGCUUGCUUUAGGGUCCCCUGCUGCCCUGGGCCCACGUUAAAUCAGCUGUUCCAUGCAAAGACUUGCAGAGCCAAGAGGAGAGGUGCAGGCGAGUUGUUAGGAGCAUGAGUUUCACAACGGUGUGGUCUCACUGCUGCCCCUGGCCACUGCCUGUGCCUUCCGGGCAGCGACUGCACCUCCUCCUCAGUUAACAAGCACAGUGGCGGAUGCCCAUGCCAUGGGUUCCGUGCACGGCGGUCACCAUCACCACACGGAGUCCAAGAGCAAGAACUCUGCCAAGACACUGUUAUUAUCAAAAGCAAAUGGUUUG